GCAAAACUUACGUUUAACAUUACUCACAUCUUCAUCCUCUCCAUCAAACUCUCACAAUCUUCAUCUCAACACUACCACCUUCAACAUUUCUAUCUUUUCGGCGCCUCAACUACAACACAACAAUCUAUAUCUAGCGGCAAGCGGCACGUGAGGAAUAGGUUCAACAAAAAAAAGUCGGAUUUCGGUGCGUUUGAGGUUUGGGGUGCGUUUUAAGGGUCGAUUUCACAAGUUUUCUUCACCAUUAAUCUUCCAUAGUAGUGGGUACAUGAAGAUUUGCAAGUGGGGUGUGGGCUGAGAGCAACGUUCCACUAGCUUAGUUGAAAUAUAGUAGUUUUAUUUCCGCUGCACUAUAUAUAUAUACCAUCAUUUUGGAACUUAAGGUUGUAAAUAUUAAUUUACUUAAACCUUUACACAUUCGGAUUGUAAUAGUUUAAUUUAGUUGUUGCUUUAACAUUAAUUCAGUUAGGUAGUUGUCCUUAACGGUUGUUCCUGUAAUAACCGUGGAAUAACACUUUUGGAUUUCGGGUACUUAUGCAUGGAUGUAUUGAUUUUUGAGCUAGAUAAGGAUUUUGGAGAA
Molecule: long non-coding RNA, 577 nt
Organism: Beta vulgaris subsp. vulgaris (sugar beet)
Lineage: Eukaryota; Viridiplantae; Streptophyta; Magnoliopsida; Caryophyllales; Amaranthaceae
Exons: 2
Source: RefSeq, a predicted model, not a curated record